GCACCGCACGUCGCGUGGUGU
Molecule: non-coding RNA, 21 nt
Filed under: Arabidopsis thaliana (thale cress)
Lineage: Eukaryota; Viridiplantae; Streptophyta; Magnoliopsida; Brassicales; Brassicaceae
Source: RNAcentral